This is a long non-coding RNA of Corapipo altera (White-ruffed manakin), 592 nucleotides long. RefSeq lists it as uncharacterized. The record is from RefSeq and is a predicted model, not a curated record. Lineage: Eukaryota; Metazoa; Chordata; Aves; Passeriformes; Pipridae. The transcript has 3 exons.
UAUGUAACUGAUUAUAUUACAAAGAACUGCAAGAACAAGACAUUUAUUUUUCACUUCUAGGAAUUUGAAUGAGGAGAUCUCAUUACCCAGGAUCAGAAUGUGUCUGGCUUGGUGAAUACAAUGACAAAUGGAUUCUUCAAAUCCCUAAUCCACAAGCAUUUCAGAGAGAGAGAUGGUUCAGCAGCACAAGAAAGAUGUACUUUUCCUGGAAGUCUCCUGACUCAACUCUUAUCCUGUACCUGGCAGUGAUUCAGUAUCAUGGCAGUUAUAAUUGAUCAAAAACAUACCUCUGUUAGCAAACAGGAGGAAGCUGGGCAGCAGCACCAGGAUGGUGUUGGACUCUGUGAGUGCCAAGGUGGAGGGUGGAAAUGAAAAACCUGAAGUCUGGCUCUGUGAUGGCCUUCUGCAUACCUGUGGGCAAGUCACUCCCACUGUCAUGUUGCUCCAGAAGUCUCCCCACAUCUAGUCCAAGAGAUUCCUAAAGGAUUAAAUAACUGAAACUUUCACAGCCUUGUGCUCACCAUCAUGAGCUUAUGUGCCAGAGAUGAUCCUGAUACACUGUCUUCACACACUAAGAUAGGGUAAGUGAUAU